GAAUUAACAUCGGCGCCAUACUCGAUCAAGCAUUUAGCGAUAUCGAUCCAACCAUGAAGGGCGGCAACGUGAAGUGGAGUGCGGUUAUCGUAAUCCCUAGCUUGAACAAGCGUAGGAUCUUCUUCUAGAAGUUUCCGGACGGCAGACUUAUCGUUUUGGUGAGUCUUCCAUAGAAUUAGCGAUGUUCGACUCACUCUCGCUUUCUCUUUCUUCUUCUUCUCCGUCGAUGAUGUCGC
RNAcentral lists this unclassified non-coding RNA (236 nucleotides) under Hevea brasiliensis (rubber tree). Lineage: Eukaryota; Viridiplantae; Streptophyta; Magnoliopsida; Malpighiales; Euphorbiaceae. The record is from RNAcentral.